UUCCACCCAAAGUUGCAUGCCACUGAUCCUUUUUAUUGCAACCUGAGUCAUCAUCUAAUUGAACACAUGAUGUCAAAUACCCUUCGGUUAGCACCACCGCCUAUGGACUCCAUUCAAUCUCUCCUUAUAUACCAGGUAAUAUCCAUUUUUUCUGUGAUCCUCACUCUUUCUUACCUAAAAUUCAUUUAACCUAUCGACGACUCCAUACCCAUUCGGUAAAUCGGGUCUUUUAACUAGAUAUGAACCGUCUCCUUCUCUUCUUCUUUCUCUCUAGAGGCAAAGAUUUAUUUGGACCAUCAUCGCUCUCUUAGGCAACCCGUGUGCUCCAAUCUGUAUCUUACCAUCGCUUCUACUUGUUAUUUUCUUUGGAAUACUUAAUAGACACUGCAAAAUUUUCACAAGCACUAGUGGGAGUCGAUUAACACUUUUACUGUCACAAACGGAUCCUGUAUACCCCCUUUCUCCUAAUCUAUAUCUUAUAUAAUUCUAUUUGUGUUAUUUUACCUGUCACAGAGAUGUAUGGGUUUAACUACACAACAAAAGAAAAAAAAAUAAACAUGUAUAAACAUCUAGGUUAUUCUUAUAAAAUAGGGUAGAAUGCAUCAGAUCAUUUACCUUCAUGCUUUUGUUGUUGUUGUAUGUACACCAACUGUUUGGUUUAAUUCUUCUUUUAAACUAUUGAUAAAUAUUUCACAACUUCAGCUGAUUUAAUGUUGUUUUGACAAUCCUAGGGCUUACGAGGAAGAUAAUGGAACAAGCUGAUGUCAUGGAUGUUUAAGAAGCUUUUAGUUGGACAAGUGUCUUUCCUUAUGUCUUUCUUUGCAUGUAACCAUGGUAUAAUUGACAUUUCUACAUUCAUUUCACAAGAAAGUACUAAUAUAGUUUCUGAAAAAAAAACUAAUCCAUAACUCUAAUUUUUUGAAGCUAAAUCCUGAAUUUGUAUGUGAAUUCUAGGCUUUAGUACGUCUCCGGUGUACGAAUCUUCUUCUUCUGACGUUAGUUUUUCCAAUGGAUUGUUGUUCUAUAUUUUAUUUUUAUAUGCACUCCUUUUAUUGUGUGCUUGGAUUUUUAAUUUUUUUAAUUUUUUUUAAUUUUUUUUUGCAUUUCUACAGCUUCCAAAUUGGCCCCUUUGGUUUCAAUAGAGCAGGCUACCUACAUCAAUAAAGUCUUAAAAUAAUGCAGAUACUUUUAUCAUCAAGAUAUCUUGACAAGAUAGAACAUGCUCUUCUAAAUUUGCUUAAGAUGCAAGAGAGAUUGGUAUUUUACGUUGAAUUAGACCGAGUAUUGUGAUGGAAUGAUUGCAACAAGCCCAUUAUCAAGAUACAGUUUUCUAAAUUUGCUUCAGAUACAAUUUUCUUUUUUUAUUGUACUUUAUUUUAUGUUCACCGCUUUGUAUACUUGAUGGGUUGAUGAUGAUUAUGAAUAUUUCAAUUAACCAACUAGAGAUUAAAUUCCAAUAAAAUUAACAAUUCCCUCUCCCUCCAAUGCCACCCUUUUCUCCUCAUAUUUUAGUUUAUUGUUGAUUGACCUUUGCUUUUUUGCAAGAGCAGAAAUCGUCUGAAAAUUCUGGAAAUGUUGAAGUUGUUUGAUAGGUUCAUAUGCCUAAAUUCUAACUGUAUCCAUCACGUUUCACACAAUUCUUCUUUCUCUUACACCGCUUCAAGUUCCAACCCUGGUAAGGAAGCUUAAAUACACAUUUAACCACUAAAAACCUAUGAUCCCCACUUUUUUACUUGAUCUAUUCUAAAUUUUUCGUAAAUGGAUGUAGACAUUUUUAUUUAAAUUUUAAGAAGUAGAAUCCUAAAUAACUAAAAUACACAUCAUCAUCAUUUCAUUCUUAUUAUUUUAAUGUCACUUGAUGUUGCCUUACCUCUUAUACCUUCAAAAUAACAACACAUAUUUUGAAAUUUAUGCAACUCUGCUGAUUUUGAGUUCAUCAAAAGUGGAAUAUUUGAUGUAUUGGACCUCCAUUUUACCAUGGUCGAGUUAUUAAUCUGUAGGUAUUGUCUUUUAGCCUUAGAAACAUCUGCU
RNAcentral lists this long non-coding RNA (2031 nucleotides) under Lactuca sativa (garden lettuce). RNAcentral describes it as "long non-coding RNA (LSAT_LNC005284)". Lineage: Eukaryota; Viridiplantae; Streptophyta; Magnoliopsida; Asterales; Asteraceae. The record is from RNAcentral.